ACGGAAUAUCGACUCGGAAUAUGUUUCCAUGAUGCUCUGUAAUUAAUCAAUAAAGAUAAGCAUCGGAGAAGGUGAGAAAAGGUUGCGGAGCGCUGCACUAAGAGACUCUGACGAGACACACUAGACACUGACUGGCGAUCAACUCACUAGACUAGGCGCUGACUGACUCUCCGCGUCUGGCCUGCGUUCGAGAUCAUUCUGGCCCAAACCGGAAACUGAAGAUGCUCUGUUUCUUGCCAAGGAAGAGAGUUAAAACUGCGGGAAGGUACGAGGUGAGGAAUUCCGUGAAGGUCCAGCGUUGGUGGAGAACUGAGACAGAAGAAAAGAAAUACAUAUCUAGAAACCAUUAAAACAUUUUGAAACAUUAGAAACAUUUUGCUCCAAAACCAUUAAAAGCUGCCACCAUAAAUUAAUUAGAACGAGUUUUGUAUUAGGUUUGCUCCAUUCCAGUCGAUCAACAACUUUACACUUCGAAUAAAAUAUUACCCAUCUAUGGGUUAUGUUUGAAACAGGUUCUUCAACGUUCAUCCAUCAGAAAUCUAAAAAGUGAUAUAAC
Molecule: long non-coding RNA, 556 nt
Organism: Stegodyphus dumicola
Lineage: Eukaryota; Metazoa; Arthropoda; Arachnida; Araneae; Eresidae
Source: RefSeq, a predicted model, not a curated record